GCCCUUGGUAGGCCUGAAACUGGCAGUAAACUUAAAAUCUGCCGGCCGCAAGGCCUUGCCGGUUCGAUUCCGGCUCGGGGCACCA
This 85-nucleotide transfer RNA is filed under the name Pseudomonas sp. G34. RNAcentral describes it as "tRNA-OTHER". Lineage: Bacteria; Pseudomonadati; Pseudomonadota; Gammaproteobacteria; Pseudomonadales; Pseudomonadaceae. The record is from RNAcentral.